This 439-nucleotide ribosomal RNA is filed under the name uncultured bacterium. RNAcentral's name for it is "partial 16S ribosomal RNA". It matches the Rfam family "Bacterial small subunit ribosomal RNA", at positions 339 to 795 of the family's 1533-position model. The record is from RNAcentral.
CUACGGGCGGCAGCAGUGGGGAAUAUUGCACAAUGGAGGAAACUCUGAUGCAGCAACGCCGCGUGGAGGAUGACACUUUUCGGAGCGUAAACUCCUUUUAUAUAGGAAGAAGAUGACGGUACUAUAUGAAUAAGCGCCGGCUAACUCCGUGCCAGCAGCCGCGGUAAUACGGAGGGCGCAAGCGUUACUCGGAAUCACUGGGCGUAAAGAGCGUGUAGGCGGAUUAAAAAGUCAGAAGUGAAAUCCUAUAGCUUAACUAUAGAACUGCUUCUGAAACUCUUAAUCUAGAAUAUGGGAGAGGUAGAUGGAAUUUCUGGUGUAGGGGUAAAAUCCGUAGAGAUCAGAAGGAAUACCGAUUGCGAAGGCGAUCUACUAGAACAUUAUUGACGCUGAGACGCGAAAGCGUGGGGAGCAAACAGGAUUAGAUACCCCCGUAGUC